This 402-nucleotide ribosomal RNA is filed under the name uncultured bacterium. RNAcentral describes it as "bacterial SSU rRNA". It matches the Rfam family "Bacterial small subunit ribosomal RNA", at positions 28 to 419 of the family's 1533-position model. The record is from RNAcentral.
GAUGAACGCUAGCUACAGGCUUAACACAUGCAAGUCGAGGGGCAGCAUGAACUUAGGCUUGCUAAGUUUGAUGGCGACCGGCGCACGGGUGAGUAACACGUAUCCAACCUUCCGUUUACUCAGGGAUAGCCUUUCGAAAGAAAGAUUAAUACCUGAUAGUAUGGUGAGAUUGCAUGAUAGCACCAUUAAAGAUUUAUUGGUAAACGAUGGGGAUGCGUUCCAUUAGGUAGUAGGCGGGGUAACGGCCCACCUAGCCGACGAUGGAUAGGGGUUCUGAGAGGAAGGUCCCCCACAUUGGAACUGAGACACGGUCCAAACUCCUACGGGAGGCAGCAGUGAGGAAUAUUGGUCAAUGGGCGAGAGCCUGAACCAGCCAAGUAGCCGUGAAGGAUGAAGGUCCUA